UGUGGUUCUGCCACACGACCUUUACAAAUGAUAUUUCUCGGUUGCGGAGUAUUUUGCUCUCUCGGUCCGUGAUACCGACCGGUACUUCUUCAUAAGACAAGUCCUCUUGGAGUGGAAGCGGUUCAUGAGUCAAGACAUGAGAAGGGUCCGGAUUGUACUUACGUAGCAUAGAUACGUGAAACACAUUGUGAACUCGGGAGAGCUCGGGAGG
RNAcentral lists this long non-coding RNA (211 nucleotides) under Carica papaya (papaya). Its description in RNAcentral is "long non-coding RNA (CPAP_LNC001370)". The record is from RNAcentral. Lineage: Eukaryota; Viridiplantae; Streptophyta; Magnoliopsida; Brassicales; Caricaceae.